AACUGUCUCCCUCCCUAACCUUUUAAACUCCUUUUUACGCGAAGAAGCGUGAAUACAUCAGAAAGACGAGAAGACCCUGUCGAGCUUCAGCCAAUAAGUGAGCCAACAAAACCUAUGUGUUAGCAUCACCCAAAGGCUUUGGUUGGGGUAACCAUGGAGAACACUAAUCCUCCAGAACAAGCAGACGAACUCUCUUCCCUACUAAACGAGCUAAAGAACCAGGAACUGGUAAUCGGAAAAAGUUACCGCAGGGAUAACAGCGUCAUCCCCUUUAAGAGUCCUUAUUGACAAGGGGGUUUGCGACCUCGAUGUUGGAUUGGGGCCCCCUUAGGGUGCAGAAGCUCUAAACGGUUAGACUGUUCGUCUAUUAAAGCCCUACAUGAUCUGAGUUCAAACCGG
RNAcentral lists this ribosomal RNA (399 nucleotides) under Holothuria leucospilota. RNAcentral's name for it is "partial 16S ribosomal RNA". It matches the Rfam family "Bacterial large subunit ribosomal RNA", at positions 2014 to 2619 of the family's 2925-position model. The record is from RNAcentral. Lineage: Eukaryota; Metazoa; Echinodermata; Holothuroidea; Aspidochirotida; Holothuriidae.